This 505-nucleotide ribosomal RNA is filed under the name uncultured bacterium. RNAcentral's name for it is "partial 16S ribosomal RNA". It matches the Rfam family "Bacterial small subunit ribosomal RNA", at positions 28 to 507 of the family's 1533-position model. The record is from RNAcentral.
GACGAACGCUGGCGGCGUGCCUAAUACAUGCAAGUAGAACGCACAGUUUAUACCGUAGCUUGCUACACCAUAGACUGUGAGUUGCGAACGGGUGAGUAACGCGUAGGUAACCUGCCUGGUAGCGGGGGAUAACUAUUGGAAACGAUAGCUAAUACCGCAUAAUCUUGAUUAUUGCAUGAUAAUUAAUUGAAAGGUGCAAUUGCACCACUACCAGAUGGACCUGCGUUGUAUUAGCUAGUAGGUGAGGUAACGGAUCACCUAGGCGACGAUACAUAGCCGACCUGAGAGGGUGAUCGGCCACACUGGGACUGAGACACGGCCCAGACUCCUACGGGAGGCAGCAGGAGGGAAUCUUCGGCAAUGGACGAAAGUCUGACCGAGCAACGCCGCGUGAGUGAAGAAGGGUUUCGGAUCGGAAAGCUCUGUUGGAAGAGAAGAACGGGUGGGAGAGUGGAAAGUUCACACUGUGACGGUAUCUUACCAGAAAGGGACGGCUAACUACGUG